This 245-nucleotide ribosomal RNA is filed under the name uncultured bacterium. Its description in RNAcentral is "partial 16S ribosomal RNA". It matches the Rfam family "Bacterial small subunit ribosomal RNA", at positions 524 to 768 of the family's 1533-position model. The record is from RNAcentral.
UACGGGGGGGGCAAGCGUUGUUCGGAAUUACUGGGCGUAAAGGGUUCGUAGGUGGCCUGCUAAGUCAGACGUGAAAUCCCUCGGCUCAACCGGGGAACUGCGUCUGAGACUGGCGGGCUUGAGUGCAGGAGAGGAACGCGGAAUUCCAGGUGUAGCGGUGAAAUGCGUAGAUAUCUGGAGGAACACCGGUGGCGAAGGCGGCGUUCUGGACUGCUACUGACACUGAGGAACGAAAGCCAGGGGAG